UAUGUUUGGGAAGCCACUUCUGCUGGGACACGGGGUCUCCUAGGAAUGGAGCCCUGUCCCCUCGGCUGUCUCCCUGUUGCCCUCUCCUCACCUGCCCAGAACCCUCCUUUGGCUGCUUCUGCCCUUGCUGGGCGGCUCGGCCCUCCUCCCCUCUAGCCUUUGAUACUGCUUGCUCCCUGAAUGCAGCCGUCCAUGGUCUGGCCUGCAAGUCCCUGACCCGCAGCAGGCGGGGCAAAGACGAAUCCCCGGGAGUCCUCAGGCAGGGCUCAAGACAGUUUGCGUUCGGACAAAUCUUCAUUGUGACGCAAGCCUUCUCCUCUGGAUGCUUAGAAUUCAAGGACCGUAGAAGAAGACUGUUCUACACCAGUGCAUCUACCAAUCCCUUCUCUUUCUCUGGAUUCUGUCCUCCGGGGCCCCUGAGUUUCCUGGUUCAGUCGGGCCUGUUCCUCUCCAGGCCUGCUGCACGGUUGCCAGCCCUGGGAGCUCCCUCUGCCAGCCUCCUGGGCCGAAU
Long non-coding RNA from Artibeus jamaicensis (Jamaican fruit-eating bat), 511 nucleotides. RefSeq lists it as uncharacterized. The record is from RefSeq and is a predicted model, not a curated record. NCBI's taxonomy places the organism in Eukaryota, Metazoa, Chordata, Mammalia, Chiroptera, Phyllostomidae. The transcript is spliced from 3 exons.